RNAcentral lists this ribosomal RNA (472 nucleotides) under uncultured bacterium. RNAcentral's name for it is "bacterial SSU rRNA". It matches the Rfam family "Bacterial small subunit ribosomal RNA", at positions 328 to 793 of the family's 1533-position model. The record is from RNAcentral.
CGCUUACACUCCUACGGGAGGCAGCAGUGGGGAAUAUUGCACAAUGGGCGCAAGCCUGAUGCAGCCAUGCCGCGUGUAUGAAGAAGGCCUUCGGGUUGUAAAGUACUUUCAGCAGUGAGGAAGGUGGUAGUGUUAAUAGCACUAUCAUUUGACGUUAGCUGCAGAAGAAGCACCGGCUAACUCCGUGCCAGCAGCCGCGGUAAUACGGAGGGUGCGAGCGUUAAUCGGAAUUACUGGGCGUAAAGCGCAUGCAGGUGGUUUGUUAAGUCAGAUGUGAAAGCCCGGGGCUCAACCUCGGAAUUGCAUUUGAAACUGGCAGACUAGAGUACUGUAGAGGGGGUAGAAUUUCAGGUGUAGCGGUGAAAUGCGUAGAGAUCUGAAGGAAUACCGGUGGCGAAGGCGGCCCCCUGGACAGAUACUGACACUCAGAUGCGAAAGCGUGGGGAGCAAACAGGAUUAGAUACCCUGGUAG